Molecule: regulatory RNA element, 59 nt
Organism: Pseudomonas fulva 12-X
Lineage: Bacteria; Pseudomonadati; Pseudomonadota; Gammaproteobacteria; Pseudomonadales; Pseudomonadaceae
Rfam family: terC RNA
Source: Rfam
AAGUGACGCCGGGCCCCUCUGGCGAUGAGUCGCCCUCAUCGUGAUGUCGGAGUCACCAA